RNAcentral lists this ribosomal RNA (488 nucleotides) under uncultured Lachnospiraceae bacterium. RNAcentral's name for it is "partial 16S ribosomal RNA". Lineage: Bacteria; Bacillati; Bacillota; Clostridia; Lachnospirales; Lachnospiraceae. The record is from RNAcentral.
CACGUAGUUAGCCGGGGCUUCUUAGUCAGGUACCGUCAUUAUCUUUCCUGCUGAUAGAGCUUUACAUACCGAGAUACUUCUUCACUCGCGCGGCGUCGCUGCAUCAGGGUUUCCCCCAUUGUGCAAUAUUCCCCACUGCUGCCUCCCGUAGGAGUCUGGGCCGUGUCUCAGUCCCAAUGUGGCCGUUCACCCUCUCAGGCCGGCUACUGAUCGUCGCUUUGGUGGGCCGUUACCCCGCCAACUGGCUAAUCAGACGCGGAUCCAUCGUAUACCACCGGAGUUUUUCACACCGCUCCAUGCGGAGCUGUGCGCUCAUGCGGUAUUAGCACCUAUUUCUAAGUGUUAUCCCCCGGUAUACGGCAGGUUAUCCACGCGUUACUCACCCGUCCGCCACUAACCUGUAUAUCACUAGGUUUCAAUACAGAUCCGUUCGACUUGCAUGUGUUAGGCACGCCGCCAGCGUUCAUCCUGAGCCAGGAUCAAACUCU